Molecule: ribosomal RNA, 253 nt
Filed under: uncultured bacterium
Lineage: Bacteria
Description: partial 16S ribosomal RNA
Rfam family: Bacterial small subunit ribosomal RNA
Source: RNAcentral
CACGUAGGAGGCGAGCGUUGUCCGGAAUCAUUGGGCGUAAAGAGCGCGCAGGCGGCUUGGCAAGUCGGGUGUGAAAUCCCGGGGCUCAACCCCGGGACUGCAUUCGAUACUGUCAGGCUAGAGGUAGGUAGGGGAGAUCGGAAUUCCUGGUGUAGCGGUGAAAUGCGCAGAUAUCAGGAGGAACACCUGCGGCGAAGGCGGGUUGCUGGGCCGACACUGGCGCUGAAGUGCGAAAGCUAGGGGAGCGAACGGG